RNAcentral lists this ribosomal RNA (1813 nucleotides) under seawater metagenome. Its description in RNAcentral is "bacterial LSU rRNA". It matches the Rfam family "Bacterial large subunit ribosomal RNA", at positions 1 to 1977 of the family's 2925-position model. The record is from RNAcentral.
UUCCCUACACGACGCUCUUCCGAUCUUGGCACUGAAAGUCGAUGAAGGACGUGAUAAACUGCGAUAAGUUUCGGGGAGCUGUUUGUAGGCUUUGAUCCGGAAAUUUCCGAAUGGGAAAACCCAACUCUUUAAGAGUUACCUUGCACUGAAUACAUAGGUGUAAGGAGAUAACCUAGGGAACUGAAACAUCUAAGUACCUAGAGGAAAAGAAAUCAAUUGAGAUUCCGUUAGUAGUGGCGAGCGAACGCGGAACAGGCCAGUAACUUUUUUUGUACAACUAGAAUAACCUGGAAAGGUUAACCAUAGAGGGUGAUAGUCCCGUAUAGGUAAAAGCAAUUAAAGUUCUCGAGUAAGGCGGGACACGUGAAAUCCUGUUUGAAGAUAGGGGGACCACCCUCUAAGCCUAAAUACUCUUCAGUGACCGAUAGUGAACUAGUACCGUGAGGGAAAGGUGAAAAGAACCCCUAUUAGGGGAGUGAAAUAGAUCCUGAAACUGUAUGCUUACAAACUGUCGAAGCCCCAUGUGGGUGACGACGUACCUUUUGUAUAAUGGGUCAGUGACUUAAUUUAUGUAGCAAGCUUAAGCCGUUUAGGUGUAGGCGUAGCGAAAGCGAGUCUUAAUAGGGCGAUUAGUUGCAUGGAUUAGAACCCGAAACCGAGUGAUCUAGCUAUGAGCAGGUUGAAGGCAAGGUAAUACUUGCUGGAGGACCGAACCAGUUGACGUUGAAAAGUCUUUGGAUGACUUGUUGCUAGGGGUGAAAGGCCAAUCAAACUCGGAGAUAGCUGGUUUUCCGCGAAAACUAUUUAGGUAGUGCGUUGAGAUAUAGAUUUUGAGGGGUAGAGCACUAAAUAGGCUAGGGGGAAGAAAUUCUUACUAAACCUAAUAAAACUCCGAAUACUCAAAAUUGUUCCUCAGCAGACAGACGGUGAAUGCUAACGUCCAUCGUCGAGAGGGAAACAACCCAGACCACCAAUUAAGGUCCCCAAGUUAUGGUUAAGUGUGAAAGGAUGUGAAGACUCCAAAACAGCCGGGAGGUUGGCUUAGAAGCAGCCAUCCUUUAAAGAUAGCGUAACAGCUCACCGGUCUAAUUAAGAGACUUUGCGCCUAAGAUGUAACGGGGCUCAAACCAUACACCGAAAUUGUGGAUUGAUAGAAGUCUUCGGACUUUUAUUUCUGGUAGCGGAACGUUCUGUAAGCCUGUGAAGAGAGACCCGUGAGGGCUCUUGGAGGUAUCAGAAGUGCGAAUGCUGACAUAAGUAACGACAAACAGAGUGAAAGACUCUGUCGCCGAGAGUACAAGGGUUCCUGCGUAAAGUUAAUCUUCGCAGGGUUAGCCGGCCCCUAAGACGAGGACGAAAGUCGUAGUCGAUGGGAAUCAGGUAAAUAUUCCUGAGCCAGGUGGUAGUGACGGAUCAUGUAAAUUGUUAACUCUUAUUGGAUUGAGUUGGCUGUGAAGUGGUCCCAGGAAAUAGCUCCAUCAUAAGACCGUACCCCAAACGGACACACGUGUACCGGUAGAGUAUACCUAGGCGCUUGAGAGAAUGAUGUUGAAGGAACUCGGCAAAAUGCUUCCGUAACUUCGGGAUAAGGAAGACCCAAUAAUGGGCAACCAUAUUUGGGUGGCACAAGCCAGGGAGAAGCGACUGUUUAUCAAAAACACAGCACUCUGCUAACACGUAAGUGGAUGUAUAGGGUGUGACGCCUGCCCGGUGCUGGAAGGUUAAAGGGAGAUGUGCAAGCAUCAAACUGAAGCCCCAGUGAACGGCGGCCGUAACUAUAACGGUCCUAAGGUAGCGAAAUUCCUUGUCGGGU